GACGAACGCUGGCGGCGUGCCUAAUACAUGCAAGUAGAACGCACAGUUUAUACCGUAGCUUGCUACACCAUAGACUGUGAGUUGCGAACGGGUGAGUAACGCGUAGGUAACCUGCCUGGUAGCGGGGGAUAACUAUUGGAAACGAUAGCUAAUACCGCAUAAUAUUAAUUAUUGCAUGAUAAUUAAUUGAAAGGUGCAAUUGCACCACUACCAGAUGGACCUGCGUUGUAUUAGCUAGUAGGUGAGGUAACGGCUCACCUAGGCGACGAUACAUAGCCGACCUGAGAGGGUGAUCGGCCACACUGGGACUGAGACACGGCCCAGACUCCUACGGGAGGCAGCAGUAGGGAAUCUUCGGCAAUGGACGAAAGUCUGAACGAGCAACGCCGCGUGAGUGAAGAAGGUUUUCGGAUCGUAAAGCUCUGUUGUAAGAGAAGAACGGGUGUGAGAGUGGAAAGUUCACACUGUGACGGUAUCUUACCAGAAAGGGACGGCUAACUACGUG
RNAcentral lists this ribosomal RNA (505 nucleotides) under uncultured bacterium. RNAcentral describes it as "partial 16S ribosomal RNA". It matches the Rfam family "Bacterial small subunit ribosomal RNA", at positions 28 to 507 of the family's 1533-position model. The record is from RNAcentral.